GCGAAGCGAAGCAGCGAUGUGAAGCAAAUCGCACCAAAGCCGGUCCCAGUUCGGAUAAGAGGCUGAAACUCGCCUCUUUGAAGUCGGAAUCGCUAGUAAUCGCAGAUCAGCAUGUUGCGGUGAAUACGUUUCCUGGUCUUGUACACACCGCCCGUCAAACCAUGAGAGUCGCCAACACCCGAAGUCCGCUUUGCGGCCUAAGGUGGGGGAGAUGAUUGGGGUUAAGUCGUAACAAGGUAUC
RNAcentral lists this ribosomal RNA (241 nucleotides) under uncultured bacterium. Its description in RNAcentral is "partial 16S ribosomal RNA". It matches the Rfam family "Bacterial small subunit ribosomal RNA", at positions 1244 to 1500 of the family's 1533-position model. The record is from RNAcentral.